Molecule: long non-coding RNA, 635 nt
Organism: Peromyscus eremicus (cactus mouse)
Lineage: Eukaryota; Metazoa; Chordata; Mammalia; Rodentia; Cricetidae
Exons: 2
Source: RefSeq, a predicted model, not a curated record
UCUCCUUUACACCAGGAGCAGCUGGAGUAGGAUUCUGCCCAAGCAGAUGGGGGCUCUCCUCUCCUGGCCUUAGGAGCAGAACAGACCAGUCCUGAACUUCAGUGUGCCUCUGGGUCCAUCUCCUAAGGGGAGGCGGGAGCAGAUGGACCUAAGAAUGGAGGGCUUGGGACAGUGGCCUUUUCUGAUUGGACUGCUGCUGAAUGAACGCUCCCAGCUUACUCCAACUGAGCACAGUAAAUGGCACUUCUCUGCUCAGCUGCGCCUGCAUUACCUCUCCAACAUUUACCCAGACCCUAGGAGGCAUAUACCAACAUCAACCUGUUUACAGAUGAAGAAACCAAUCCAGAGCGGUGGAAGAACCCAGCAGAGGCCACACAGGCCAUUUGGGGGAGAGAAAUAAAUCUAAGUAUUAAACUCUCAAGCCACCGUAUCCUCUGCCUCCCAAGAACACGGCAGUAGCUAAUGAAAUCAGAAAACACAGCAUGUGUCCCGCUGAAUUCUCCUCCUAGGCUGGCAAAGACAUAUGAGCCAAGGGUCUAGCCUGUUCCUCUCUAGGUUUGCCUUUAUCCAGCCCACACCACAGUACAGCAUGGACCCUCUAAAUAAAGAGUGGCUGUAGCCAGGCUUUCAAGAGA